UACGUAGGUGGCAAGCGUUGUCCGGAAUUACUGGGUGUAAAGGGUGCGUAGGCGGUUCUGCAAGUCAGUUGUGAAAACUAUGGGCUUAACCCAUAGCCUGCAAUUGAAACUGUGGGACUUGAGUGAAGUAGAGGUAGGUGGAAUUCCCGGUGUAGCGGUGAAAUGCGUAGAGAUCGGGAGGAACACCAGUGGCGAAGGCGGCCUACUGGGCUUUAACUGACGCUGAAGCACGAAAGCAUGGGUAGCAAACAGGAUUAGAUACCCUGGUAGUCCAUGCCGUAAACGAUGAUUACUAGGUGUGGGGGGUCUGACCCCUUCCGUGCCGGAGUUAACACAAUAAGUAAUCCACCUGGGGAGUACGACCGCAAGGUUGAA
Molecule: ribosomal RNA, 375 nt
Filed under: uncultured bacterium
Lineage: Bacteria
Description: bacterial SSU rRNA
Rfam family: Bacterial small subunit ribosomal RNA
Source: RNAcentral